ACUCUGACUCCAACAGGGUGAGCUUGCUAUCCUUGUGGCACAGGGCCUUUUGCAUUGUGGAUGAUGGAGCGGCUCGUAUAGUCCAUAAGUUUUGUGCGUAGCUGUGUACCCUGUCCCUGUGAGCUGGUUCUGCCCGGCACCUCGGUGACCUCGAGGAAAGAAGCUGAGAGACAGAGUCUUGCUUUGUCACCCAGGCUGGAGGGCAGUGGCACCAUCAUAGCUCACUGCAGACUCGAACUCCUGGGCUCAAGGGAUCCUCCUGCCUCGGCCUCCAAAAAUGGUGAGAUUAUGGACAUGAGACACUGCACUGGGCCUAUUGUGUAUCUUGUUGGCCUAAAAUUGAAACAUGCCUUGUGAGCGUUUACUGCAACUUCAAUGAGUGAUUAUUAUGUUGCCUUUAAUCCUGAGAGACUGUAUUACUUGUGCACUUUUUUUUUUUUUGGAUAGGGGGAAAUUAGAUUUAUUCCCUAUAUGUUUUAGAAAAUUGAAGUUUUAAAUAUCAGACUCACUA
This 511-nucleotide long non-coding RNA is filed under the name Homo sapiens (human). RNAcentral describes it as "HSALNT0398253". The record is from RNAcentral. Lineage: Eukaryota; Metazoa; Chordata; Mammalia; Primates; Hominidae.